RNAcentral lists this ribosomal RNA (429 nucleotides) under uncultured bacterium. RNAcentral describes it as "bacterial SSU rRNA". It matches the Rfam family "Bacterial small subunit ribosomal RNA", at positions 355 to 776 of the family's 1533-position model. The record is from RNAcentral.
UGGGGAAUAUUGGGCAAUGGGCGAAAGCCUGACCCAGCGACGCCGCGUGGGGGAUGAAGGUCUUCGGAUUGUAAACCUCUGUCGGGAGGGACGAACGCUUCGCGGCUAAUAGUCGUGAAGCUUGACGGUACCUCCAAAGGAAGCCCCGGCUAACUCCGUGCCAGCAGCCGCGGUAAUACGGAGGGGGCAAGCGUUAUUCGGAAUUACUGGGCGUAAAGCGCGCGCAGGUGGCUUGGUAAGUGGCAGGUGAAAUCCCUCGGCUCAACCGAGGAACUGCCUGCCAUACUGCUGAGCUUGAGGCUGGGAGGGGAGAGCGGAAUUCCUGGUGUAGCGGUGAAAUGCGUAGAUACCAGGAGGAACACCGGUGGCGAAGGCGGCUCUCUGGACCAGUUCUGACACUCAUGCGCGAAAGCGUGGGUAGCAAACAGG